This 236-nucleotide ribosomal RNA is filed under the name uncultured bacterium. RNAcentral describes it as "partial 16S ribosomal RNA". It matches the Rfam family "Bacterial small subunit ribosomal RNA", at positions 541 to 776 of the family's 1533-position model. The record is from RNAcentral.
UUAUUCGGAUUUACUGGGCUUAAAGAGUCCGUAGGCGGCUCAGAUAGUGGGGUGUGAAAUCCCUCGGCUUAACCGAGGAAUUGCGCUCCAAACUCCUGUGCUAGAGGAAUCUAGAGGUGAGCGGAACUGAUGGUGGAGCGGUGAAAUGCGUUGAUAUCAUCAGGAACACCGGAGGCGAAGGCGGCUCACUGGGGAUUUUCUGACGCUGAGGGACGAAAGCCAGGGGAGCGAACGGG